GGGGUAACGGCCCACCGUGCCAGUAAUCGGUACGGGUUGUGAGAGCAAGAGCCCGGAGACGGUAUCUGAGACAAGAUACCGGGCCCUACGGGGCGCAGCAGGCGCGAAACCUUUACACUGCACGCCAGUGCGAUAAGGGGACUCCAAGUGCGAGGGCAUAUAGUCCUCGCUUUUUGCGACCGUAAGGUGGUCGCGGAAUAAGUGCUGGGCAAGACCGGUGCCAGCCGCCGCGGUAAUACCGGCAGCACGAGUGAUGACCGCUGUUAUUGGGCCUAAAGCUUCCGUAGCUGGCCGCGCAAGUCUAUCGGGAAAUCUCUUCGCUUAACGAAGAGGCGUCCGGUGGAAACUGUGUGGCUUGGGACCGGAAGACCAGAGGGGUACGUCUGGGGUAGGAGUGAAAUCCCGUAAUCCUGGACGGACCACCGGUGGCGAAAGCGCCUCUGGAAGACGGAUCCGACGGUGAGGGACGAAAGCUCGGGUCACGAACCGGAUUAGAUACCCGGGUAGUCCGAGCUGUAAACGAUGUCUGCUAGGUGUGACACAGGCUACGAGCCUGUGUUGUGCCGUAGGGAAGCCGUGAAGCAGACCGCCUGGGAAGUACGUCCGCAAGGAUGAAACUUAAAGGAAUUGGCGGGGGAGCACUACAACCGGAGGAGCCUGCGGUUUAAUUGGACUCAACGCCGGACAUCUCACCAGCAUCGACAAUGUGCAGUGACGGUCAGUGUGAUGAGCUUACCUGAGCCAUUGAGAGGAGGUGCAUGGCCGCCGUCAGCUCGUACCGUGAGGCGUCCUGUUAAGUCAGGCAACGAGCGAGACCCGCACUCCUAAUUGCCAGCAACACCCUUGUGGUGGUUGGGUACAUUAGGAGGACUGCCAGUGCCAAACUGGAGGAAGGAACGGGCAACGGUAGGUCAGUAUGCCCCGAAUGUGCUGGGCGACACGCGGGCUACAAUGGCCACGACAGUGGGAUGCAACGCCGAAAGGCGACGCUAAUCUCCGAAACGUGGUCGUAGUUCGGAUUGAGGGCUGAAACUCGCCCUCAUGAAGCUGGAUUCGGUAGUAAUCGCGCCUCAGAAGGGCGCGGUGAAUACGUCCCUGCUCCUUGCACACACCGCCCGUCAAAGCACCCGAGUGGGGUCCGGAUGAGGCCCGGUUUCCGGGUCGAAUCUGGGCUCCGCA
Molecule: ribosomal RNA, 1179 nt
Filed under: Natronobacterium innermongoliae
Lineage: Archaea; Methanobacteriati; Methanobacteriota; Halobacteria; Halobacteriales; Natrialbaceae
Description: bacterial SSU rRNA
Rfam family: Archaeal small subunit ribosomal RNA
Source: RNAcentral